UGGGGAAUAUUGGACAAUGGGGGGAACCCUGAUCCAGCCAUGCCGCGUGUGUGAAGAAGGCCUUAUGGUUGUAAGCACUUUAAGCGAGGAGGAGGGUACUGGUAUUAAUACUACCAGGUACUGGACGUUACUCGCAGAAUAAGCACCGGCUAACUCUGUGACAGCAGCCGCGGUAAUACAGAGGGUGCGAGCGUUAAUCGGAUUUACUGGGCGUAAAGCGUGCGUAGGCGGCUAAUUGAGUCGGAUGUGAAAUCCCCGAGCUUAACUUGGGAAUUGCAUUCGAUACUGGUUAGCUAGAGUGUGGGAGAGGAUGGUAGAAUUCCAGGUGUAGCGGUGAAAUGCGUAGAGAUCUGGAGGAAUACCGAUGGCGAAGGCAGCCAUCUGGCCUAACACUGACGCUGAGGUACGAAAGCAUGGGGAGCAAACAGG
Molecule: ribosomal RNA, 429 nt
Filed under: Pseudomonadota bacterium
Lineage: Bacteria; Pseudomonadati; Pseudomonadota
Description: Proteobacteria bacterium partial 16S ribosomal RNA
Rfam family: Bacterial small subunit ribosomal RNA
Source: RNAcentral